GGUAGAUGGCUCAGUGGUUAAGAGCACUGACUGCUCUUCCAGAGGUCCUGAGUUCAAUCCCCAGCAACCA
This 70-nucleotide transfer RNA is filed under the name Mus musculus (house mouse). Its description in RNAcentral is "tRNA-Ser". The record is from RNAcentral. Lineage: Eukaryota; Metazoa; Chordata; Mammalia; Rodentia; Muridae.